CAGGGUACUCGAGUGGCGAACGGGUGAGUAACACGUGGGUGAUCUGCCCUGCACUUCGGGAUAAGCUUGGGAAACUGGGUCUAAUACCGGAUAGGAGCCGUCUUUAGUGUGGUGGUUGGAAAGUUUUUUCGGUGUAGGAUGAGCUCGCGGCCUAUCAGCUUGUUGGUGGGGUAAUGGCCUACCAAGGCGGCGACGGGUAGCCGGCCUGAGAGGGUGUACGGCCACAUUGGGACUGAGAUACGGCCCAG
This 248-nucleotide ribosomal RNA is filed under the name uncultured Actinomycetales bacterium. RNAcentral describes it as "partial 16S ribosomal RNA". It matches the Rfam family "Bacterial small subunit ribosomal RNA", at positions 83 to 334 of the family's 1533-position model. The record is from RNAcentral. Lineage: Bacteria; Bacillati; Actinomycetota; Actinomycetes; Actinomycetales.